UAUAAGUCUGCAGUUUGUAGAGAAGGUUGUUGCUGUUGGUUCUGCAGCCAUGUCAAUGAACCUUCUGUUGCAAAUUGUGUGCCUGAUUUUUCACUGUACAAUUCUUGAGUUAUUUGAUGAUUGUGGAUUGAAUUGCCUGGUAAAAAUUGUGUAUGCAAAUAUUCAGACCAUUUGAUGUCUUCAGGAUCAAUUUCUGAUGGAUUAAUAUUGGCUUCUUUUUCUGAUUUCCCACAGUCAGCAGCUGCCCAUGAGAAUGCAUUAUUAUCAAAGAAAGAAGAGUUUCUUUGCAAUUGAUCAAUACUAGUACUGCUCCCAUUGCUGGUAAACGUCCCUAUUGAAUUAUUACUUGCUGCUGCUAUUGGAGAUGUGAGAAUUGAG
RNAcentral lists this long non-coding RNA (378 nucleotides) under Nicotiana tabacum (common tobacco). RNAcentral's name for it is "long non-coding RNA (NTAB_LNC001783)". The record is from RNAcentral. Lineage: Eukaryota; Viridiplantae; Streptophyta; Magnoliopsida; Solanales; Solanaceae.